CCAAUAUAUCAUACAUGAAGAAAUCAAGAUAAAUAAAAGACCAACACUUGCAUUAGUGUUGAAUCUAGGUGUAAGAGAUUCACAAAAAUCAAGCACUUUUAAUAUUCGGCACUUUUGUAUGCUUUCAUUAUUUUACUAAGAGAAAUAAAGCAAAGUACUUAAAAACACAAAAGCUUAUGCAACACAUUCUAAAAAAUGCUCAAUUUUCAAAUAAGCCAUGCACUUGUUACACUUAUUAUUGGUCUUUUAUAGAAACAGAUUUUAAAAGAAUGUCUUGUAAAGAUAGUGUACUUUCAUCAUUGCCUGAGCAGCUCAGUGAUUAUGAGGAAUGCCAAGAAGACUUCAAUAUUCUUAACUUGGAAUCAAGAAAAAGAAAGUCCUUUAAAAGAUCAAGAUCUUUGAUAACAAUGACAAAAACUAAAUUUGCCAGGGGUAGAGCCUUCCUCUUAUCAAUUUCAGGCAAGAAGCAAUCUUUUUCUGCAUAGUGAAAAGUAAGCCAACUAAGGGAAAGAGCUGUGUGACUAUUAUAGCAUAAAACUAACUGGGUGGUUGAAAAGCAGUACUUUUAAGAAUUUUGUUAACUUUACUUAACAUGUUGAUUUUUAUUUCAUUUUGAGAUAUGUUAAGAAAUGAAACCAUUUUCACACACUAUUUUUAGCUCCCUCACGAUAGUUAUUUACAACUGUCUCUUUUGCCCUCCCUAAGCUUUAUCCUCUUCCUCAGUGAGUCUCCCUCAUUGCCCCAUAUUCCUAAACCAAUAGGAAGAAUUUCCUCAUACCCUUAAGCCUUGCAUCUGUUACCAUAGAGACAGGCAUCAUAAGAUAGCUGCUCAGUAACAUCCUCAUGGAAAUAAAAUAAGAAUCCUAUGUCCUUUACAGGAAUUUCCAGUGCUACUAGUGAGAAUAAAUGAUAUUCUUCCCUAGGAAAAAGGCAAGAACUUUAGUUUCACAAUCAUGGAAUUAUAGAGAUUCUUAUUUAUGAUGGUAAAUGUAGAAUCUCUUAAAUUUAUGCUUAGAAUCUAAUUACAGAUUCUCACAUGAUUUGGAAAAUAUUCCCUUAUAUCUACAUGUUCAGGGAAAUAUCUCACAAAUAUUUCAUUGCUAACUUUUAAUUCUAGCAUGUCUCACCAAUCAUUUACUAACAGCCUCAACCGUUCUUCUAUAGUGCAAUGCAUAAAUUCUUACUUUGCUAUCCUUUGAUCCCCUUCAGACCAUAUUUUGAUCAAGAGCACGCCCAUCUUUUUAAAAGGUAAGCACCUCUCCAGAUGACUGUAAUGUAAAAGCCACAUAGCAAUUUGAUAAGUCCUAUGAAGAGAGAAAAGAUAGCUGCAAGAAGUAAUUUCCACUCACUUUACUUGUUUUCCACUAACUUCUUUACUUUCUGUAAGUCAAAUGCAAUCACACAAUAAUUAACAGUGACAAUAAAAAUAACUUCUUCUUAGCAAAUAGCAAGAUCAAUGAGUGUAUGCAAAGUAGAUAUAUGUAAUUCAGUGGUUUCAGAGAGCUCAAUUUUUAUUACAGACAUAAUAAAGGUUCCUUAGUAAGUAAAAUCUUCCAACAGAUUAACAGCCAAAAUGGUCCCAUCAUUAACCCCUAAGCUGUAUAUUAGAACCACUUUUCAAAGGUGUAGUGGUUAAACAUUAUAUGAGUGAUCACAACUUCUCUUUAUGGUCUUCAGCUGAUAUUUAGUGGUGACCGAGCUUGUUCUAGGCACUUGAUUCAAUGAGUAAAAAGCAAAAUUCCCUUAUAUUCUAGAGAUGAGGUCGGCAAAAUUUUACUAAUACAUAAGGUCAGGUAAUAAAUAUUUUUGGCUUUGUGGCCCAAAUGGUCUGUCACUACUACUUAACUGCUAUGUUGGCAUGAAAACUGGCACAGAAAAUAUGUAAACAAAAAGGUAUGCUGUCUCCCAACCAAAAUUUAUUAGUAGACACUUAAAUCAAAAUUUCAUAUAAUUUUUAUGUGUCACAAAGUACUACGUAUCUUUUAAAAAAACCCAUUUAGAAUACAGAAAGCAUUAUUGACUGGUUAAACACAAAGAGCUAUGGCACGUGGGUCAUAAUGAGCUGACUUCUGGCAUGGAGGGUUCCAAUGGGGUCCUAGAGACACUCAAAGAAAUAUCUGAAAAGGAAACUUUUUUUUAAUGAAAUGACAAGGCUCAACGAUUUUUAAAAUUAUUUGAGACAUCUUUUUCAAAUUCUCUUUAACGCAGGAACUCCACUGUCAGUCCUGAUCACUUUAGGAACAAGGAGAGCAGUGCCUCAUAAAGUAGUCAAUUCUCUCUUUAUAUAAUUAACUGAAAGAGUAUUUUUUUCUUCACUACCAGAGAGGCAGAAAUGAGUCUAACCCCUCCUCUACAGUGUAGCUUAUCUAAUAUUUGAUAUCAGUUUAAUUUUACUGUAUUCAUUUCCCUCUACACAUGCUUCAAUUUUUUUCCUUUUCUAGAAUAUUUAAUGCCCCUCAACUACUGUAGUUUCUAGUACAAUUAGCCCCCCACUCAGACAUUUUUUUGUCACUAAAUAUUCUCUGAGGUAUUAAAGUUCCUCUUAGACCAUGAGAUUACUCUUAAAAAAAGUUUCUGUAAACUUUGUUCUCUUUGUUUCCUUCCGAGAGGGAUACAUGUCCAACAUUACUUUAUUAUUUUUUUAAUGUUUCUCACAUAAAUUUAUUUAUACUAACUAUAGUUUACUUUUGCAUAUUAAACACACAGUUGACAAACACAUAUUCCCUCUUCUUUUUUUUAAUGUUAAAAAAAAGAAAGCUGGGAGUUCCCGUUGUGGCGCAGUGGUUAACGAAUCCGACUAGGAACCAUGAGGUUGCGGGUUCGGUCCCUGCCCUUGCUCAGUGGGUUAACAAUCCGGCGUUGCCGUGAGCUGUGGUGUAGGUUGCAGACGCGGCUCGGAUCCUGCGUUGCUGUGGCUCUGGCGUAGGCCGGUGGCUACAGCUCCGAUUCAACCCCUAGCCUGGGAACCUCCAUAUGCCGCGGGAGCGGCCCAAGAAAUAGCAACAACAACAACAACAACAAAAGACAAGAAAGACAAAAGACAAAAAAAAAAAAAAAAAAAAAAAAAAAAA
This 3071-nucleotide long non-coding RNA is filed under the name Sus scrofa (pig). Its description in RNAcentral is "lncRNA (ENSSSCG00065005151.1)". Lineage: Eukaryota; Metazoa; Chordata; Mammalia; Artiodactyla; Suidae. The record is from RNAcentral.